Long non-coding RNA from Acanthopagrus latus (yellowfin seabream), 1719 nucleotides. RefSeq lists it as uncharacterized. The transcript has 3 exons. The record is from RefSeq and is a predicted model, not a curated record. Lineage: Eukaryota; Metazoa; Chordata; Actinopteri; Spariformes; Sparidae.
GUAUGUCCAAAGCUUGAGGGUUGCUGAAUUCAGCUGCGAUCCCCAGAGGAGUCACCCCAUAAAUGUCUCUGGCAGUUACUUUGGCUCCGUGUCGAAGGAGCAGCAUCAGAAUAUCUGGACAACCCACCUGAUGCAAGAGCUUCGUGGGUCGCCGUCCGCUUGGACUGACACACCUGCUCCACAAAGGCCCCGCCCAUGAUGAGGGACGCCACCAUGUCGUAUGACCGCUGCCUCACCGCUGCAACAUGGAGAAAACACAAGGCGAUGAGAUAGGAAGCCAGAUAAGUAGAAAGCUAAUGCUUACAGGAGAUGUUUUAACAAUUCUACUGUCACGCCAGCAGCUCUGUGAGGGUAAGCACUGCUUUGAGCUAACAGGCUAGCCUGCGCACAGAUGCAAUGCUAACUUUUGCCGCCUAGUUUUAGCGCGUUGGCGUGCAAACAUUUGAUAAUUAACGCACACAAAGUGAAUAGAGUUGUUUAUUAAAACAACAUGCCGACAUUUGUAACUGCAAUUCAUCCGAAUUCAAACUCUUGAGACAGUAAAAGUACAAGACAAGUACUAUCAGCAAAUAUACUUGAAAGUAUCAAAAGUACUUAUCAUGCAGAUUGGCUCUUCCAGUGUGUUCUACGAUUACAGAGUAUAUCAAAGAUACGUUUUAGUGUUGUUGUUGUUUUCAAUGUUGAGCUAAUUUUAGACACUUUGUACACUACUGGGCAUGUCAGUAAUGUAAUACUGCAUUAUAUCAUACUUAAGUGCUUCAGUAAAUCUCGGUGUCGUAUCGUCUGCGACUGGUUGUGUCAGUUACUUGAAGACAUUUCACCUCUCAACCAAGAGGAUUCCUCAGUUCUAACCAACUGGAGGGGUGUCGGUCAGCUUUUUAGACUCUGUGUGGGUGUGACACACCAGAUAUCCAGUUAGUCAGACCUGAAGAAGCUUCUUGGAUGAGAGGUGAAAUGUCUUCAAGAAAACUGAAACAAGUCCAGCUGCCGACGAUACAGCACGUAGAUGUACAAUGACCUGAGGGACUGAGGAUUUUCAUCGACACGUCUGCUUGAGUAAAAACUAAACUUUACACCGCUGUAAUAAUUAAAAAUCAUGCUCUAACAGCCAAUUUGUGAAGCAUUUACUAAUGAUCAACUGUAAAAAUAAAGUUAUUUGAAACCUUUUUUUGUGAAAUCGUUAUCCACUGAUAAAUAUGUUUACGAACAAGCUGUCGAUAAGGGAUAAGUGACUGUGUAUGCAUUGUGUUGAGUUUGUGUGCAUGUGUGUGUCUACCGAUCAGCAGAGGAGACUCGUUCCUGCCGUUGGUGCUGUGCGGCGAGGCUCCUUGCAACAGCAGCAUCUUGACGUUUGCCAUCAGGCCGGCCUCCGCUGCCAGGGUCAGAGCCGUGUCCCCGUCCUCCGUCGGCUCCUCCAGGGUCAGACUCCACACCCAGCCUGUUGAACCCUCACCCUGCAGCACCACACGCAGGACAUCCUGCAGCGGCUGCACGGCUGCUGCGUGCAGAGCCAACCAGCCCCUGCCGUCCCUCUCUCUGAAGGCUGGCAGGCAGCCCGACAGCCCCUGCAGCGCAUACACGUCACCUGGGGAGACACAACCCAACACUUGUUGUCCAUUCACGUCAAUUGGGAUAUCCUUGUGCUAAACCAUGAGUUAAAUUUGACCCUUACCCUUUUGAAUGGCUGCCAUUAUCUUCAGGAAGUCCUCACUGUUUACU